This is a long non-coding RNA of Acipenser ruthenus (sterlet), 1766 nucleotides long. RefSeq lists it as uncharacterized. NCBI's taxonomy places the organism in Eukaryota, Metazoa, Chordata, Actinopteri, Acipenseriformes, Acipenseridae. The record is from RefSeq and is a predicted model, not a curated record. The transcript is spliced from 3 exons.
GAGUAGUAAUGAGUGACUGGGGAAGCUGUUGCUGUUUUUUUCUGAUAUAAAAGUAUGAUAAACCCUUUGUGGACCUGCCUCUUCUGUUGUGUCCCUGAUCCUUGAUGGUAUCCUAAAUCCUUCCUGAAUCGCCAACCAUGAAUGAGAAUGCGUGUCUGUGACUCGUUAAUCUUAUUUUCCUUACUGUAUUUCAUAUGGAUUAUCCGGGGAAUCGCGAAGAGUAAAAAUCUUGGUUUAAAUGGCUUUCACUGUUGGAAGGAUAAAGCUAUACGUUUGUCACGGUCAGUCUUAAUCUAAGCAGAAAGCCUUGAUCAAAGAAAUCAGCAGAAGCUCUUCGGAUCUUGCUGUGAAAGUCAAAUUUAAUGCAGAGGAUUUUUUAAUUAAAAGGUUGAAGCUUGACCUGCUUCGUUGAUAUAAACAUUUGGAGCGCAUUUAUGAUCCCAUUAACGGGUUGAAAAAGUCCCUUCGGUUGACAUUGUCAAUACCUUAUAGAAUUUUGAAUGCUUGAACAAGAUCGCUGCAUAGUCUUCUUUGUUGAAGAAUGAAUGGAUUCAAUUCUUUUAGCCUGAAUGCAUUCGACAUGCCUUUUAAACCUGGAAUAAUUCUGGUUGCUCUUCUUUGCACUCUUUCUAGAGCAGCAAUAUCCUUUUUGCAGCGAGGUGACUAGAACUGAACACAAUAGUCUAGAUGAUGUCUUAUUAAUGCAUUGUAAAGUUUUAACAUUAUUUCCCUUGCUUUGAAUUCAACACUUUUCACUAUGUAUCCGAGCAUCUUGUUGGCCUUUUAUAGCUUCCCCACAUUGUCUAGAUGAAGACAUUUCUGAGUCAACAUAAACUCCUAGAUCUUUUUCAUAGAUUCCUUCUUGAAUUUCAGUACCUCCCAUAUGGUAUUUAUAAUACACAUUUGUAUUGCCUGCGUGCAGUACCUUACACUUUUCUCUAUUAAAUGUAAUUUGCCAUGUGUCUGCCCAGUUCUGAAUGCUGUCUAAACCAUUUUGAAUGACCUUUGCUGCUGCAAUAGCGUUUGCCAGUCCUAUUUUUGUGUCGUCUGCUAAUUUAACAAGUUUGCUUUCUAUACCAGAAUCUAAGUCAUUAAUGUAGAUUAGGAAUAGCAGAUGACCUAAUACUGAUCCCUGUGGUACUCCACUGGUUACCUCGCUCUAUUUUGAGGUUUCUCCUCUAAUCAGUAUUGUUUUCUACAUGUUAACCACUCCCUAAUCCAUGUACAUGCAUGCACUCCUAAUCCCUUUCACACUUCUGCCUGUUAUGCUAGUUAUUUAAAACUGGAUAGGAACAGGUCGACAUGUGGGACAUGUUGUCCUUAUCCUCCUUUGUAAAAACUUGUGAAAAGUAAUCAUUUCAUAUAUUUGCUAUUUUUUUCUCGUUGUCUCUGAUUUUGCCAUGUGUAUCAGACAUUUUACCUCCUCCUUGAAUGUUCUCUUGCUGUCAUAAUAUUGUAAAAACGUUUUGGAACUGGUUUUAGUCCCUUUAGCAAUGCUCAUUUCUAUCUCUCUCUAACUUCCUUUUUGAUUUGCGUUUGCAGUUCCAAGUACUCUUUCUGUGAACUUUGUUCUUGGUCCCUUUUAAACGUUCUGUAAGGUGCCUUUUUUCUGGAUAUAUAUAUAUAAUAAUUUUAAUUGAUCUAUUCAGAGAAGCUACGUUGGUUCACUGGAACACAAAUAAUACAAAGACGCAAGCCCUCAGCCACCUCAGGACACUUGAGCAAAGGAUAAGGAGUAAAUGAAAGUAUUUUGAAACAGCUUGUAA